AGCGAUUCUCCUGCCUCCGCCUCCCAAGUAGCUGGAAUUACAGGUGUUUGACCUCUAGAACUCAGAAAAUCUUCAACUUCUUUACUAUUGCCCAAAGUCCAAAAUGAGAUUUAGAAGACUACUGCUGUGCGAAGAAGCCAAGUUAUCACUAAAAUAGAUGGAGCAAAAGAAUUUAACAAUGCUUUCACAGCUGAGUAUUUAAUCCUGUAGAAAGAUGAUGGCUCUGAUUAUAAAGAGAUAAUGAUGCAGAAUGUACGAGAAGGGAAUUUGAAUUUCUAAGAAAAAAUGUUUGAGAAGGAGAAAACUGCAAAUUCUGUGAGAAACAAUGUUUUAAGUGCCUUCUAAUAAGGUGUUUCUUAAGAUGAGAUGGAAAGGACAUACUUCCUCCUUAUCUAGGUACAGAUGUUACUCACUUGUGUAAGACUGAGAUAUUAAUUAAAUUUGAGCAUGCUAGGUAGAGCAAAGGCCAAGAAGAUACCUCACAGAUAGCCAUAAAUUACCCCUAGAAUCUGAGCUAGAAUCUGAGGUUAGAAAUUUUGUCUGUUUUGUUCUCUGAUAUAUCCCACGCACUUAAAACAGUAUGAUACCUACACCAGGCACUCAAUGAAUUUUUAUUGACUAAGUGGUCAGUUUAACAAAGUCUAAAGUCUUAACUUUAUCAGCACAUCUAAAGUUUAUCCACGUCUUAGGGGUUCACUUCAGCAAUUCAAGAGAGAGUGGUAUCAAAGAAGAAUGAUCAUUUAUUAAUUUUGAAGAGAAAAAUCAUCGUAGGAAUAAUCAAAUGUGCAACAUUAACAUAAAUAACUUUGUGGUCUAGCUAAGUACAAAGCUAAGUCAUACCCAGCA
RNAcentral lists this long non-coding RNA (846 nucleotides) under Homo sapiens (human). RNAcentral describes it as "HSALNT0339490". The record is from RNAcentral. Lineage: Eukaryota; Metazoa; Chordata; Mammalia; Primates; Hominidae.